RNAcentral lists this ribosomal RNA (253 nucleotides) under uncultured bacterium. Its description in RNAcentral is "partial 16S ribosomal RNA". It matches the Rfam family "Bacterial small subunit ribosomal RNA", at positions 524 to 776 of the family's 1533-position model. The record is from RNAcentral.
UACGUAGGGUGCAAGCGUUGUUCGGAAUUAUUGGGCGUAAAGGGCGCGUAGGCGGUGCGGUAAGUCUGUAGUGAAAUCUCUGGGCUCAACUCAGAGUCUGCUAUAGAAACUGCCGUGCUUGAGUGUGGGAGAGGUGAGUGGAAUUCCUGGUGUAGCGGUGAAAUGCGCAGAUAUCAGGAAGAACACCCGUGGCGAAGGCGGCUCUCUGGAACGCAACUGACGCUGAGACGCGAAAGCGUGGGGAGCAAACAGG